Molecule: transfer RNA, 74 nt
Filed under: Badis badis
Lineage: Eukaryota; Metazoa; Chordata; Actinopteri; Anabantiformes; Badidae
Description: tRNA-Trp
Rfam family: tRNA
About the family: Transfer RNA (tRNA) molecules are approximately 80 nucleotides in length. Their secondary structure includes four short double-helical elements and three loops (D, anti-codon, and T loops).
Source: RNAcentral
AGGGACUUAGGUUAACACAACAAAACCCAGGGCCUUCAAAGCCCAAAAUGGGGGUGGAAAUCCCCCAGACCCUG